UACGGGGGGGGCAAGCGUUGUUCGGAAUUACUGGGCGUAAAGGGCUUGUAGGCGGCCAACUAGGUCCGACGUGAAAUCCCCAGGCUUAACCUGGGAACUGCGUCGGAUACUGGAUGGCUUGAAUUCGGGAGAGGGAUGCAGAAUUCCAGGUGUAGCGGUGAAAUGCGUAGAUAUCUGGAGGAAUACCGGUGGCGAAGGCGGCAUCCUGGACCGACAUUGACGCUGAGGAGCGAAAGCUAGGGGAGCAAACGGG
RNAcentral lists this ribosomal RNA (253 nucleotides) under uncultured bacterium. Its description in RNAcentral is "partial 16S ribosomal RNA". It matches the Rfam family "Bacterial small subunit ribosomal RNA", at positions 524 to 776 of the family's 1533-position model. The record is from RNAcentral.